GAUGAACGCUGGCGGCGUGCCUAAUACAUGCAAGUCGAGCGAACAGACGAGGAGCUUGCUCCUCUGACGUUAGCGGCGGACGGGUGAGUAACACGUGGAUAACCUACCUAUAAGACUGGGAUAACUUCGGGAAACCGGAGCUAAUACCGGAUAAUAUAUUGAACCGCAUGGUUCAAUAGUGAAAGACGGUUUUGCUGUCACUUAUAGAUGGAUCCGCGCCGCAUUAGCUAGUUGGUAAGGUAACGGCUUACCAAGGCAACGAUGCGUAACCGACCUGAGAGGGUGAUCGGCCACACUGGAACUGAGACACGGUCCAGACUCCUACGGGAGGCAGCAGUAGGGAAUCUUCCGCAAUGGGCGAAAGCUUGACGGAGCAACGCCGCGUGAGUGAUGAAGGUCUUCGGAUCGUAAAACUCUGUUAUUAGGGAAGAACAAAUGUGUAAGUAACUAUGCACGUCUUGACGGUACCUAAUCAGAAAGCCACGGCUAACUACGUG
Molecule: ribosomal RNA, 497 nt
Filed under: uncultured bacterium
Lineage: Bacteria
Description: partial 16S ribosomal RNA
Rfam family: Bacterial small subunit ribosomal RNA
Source: RNAcentral